This 274-nucleotide ribosomal RNA is filed under the name uncultured bacterium. RNAcentral describes it as "partial 16S ribosomal RNA". It matches the Rfam family "Bacterial small subunit ribosomal RNA", at positions 523 to 796 of the family's 1533-position model. The record is from RNAcentral.
AUACGGAGGAGGCAAGCGUUGUUCGGAAUUACUGGGCGUAAAGGGCGCGCAGGCUGUUUCGUUAGUCAGGCGUGAAAUCCCCGGGCUCAACCCGGGAACUGCGUUUGAUACUGCGGAACUAGAGAUCGGGAGAGGGUAGUGGAAUUCCCAGUGUAGAGGUGAAAUUCGUAGAUAUUGGGAAGAACACCAGUGGCGAAGGCGGCUACCUGGACCGAUACUGACGCUGCGGCGCGAAAGCGUGGGGAGCAAACAGGAUUAGAAACCCCAGUAGUCC